GUUUUAAUAAUUUAAUAUAAAAUAUUGGUCUUGUAAACCAAAAAUGAAUUGUUUCUUAAAACU
This 63-nucleotide transfer RNA is filed under the name Amphigerontia montivaga. RNAcentral describes it as "tRNA-Thr". It matches the Rfam family "tRNA". From Rfam's summary of the family: Transfer RNA (tRNA) molecules are approximately 80 nucleotides in length. Their secondary structure includes four short double-helical elements and three loops (D, anti-codon, and T loops). Further hydrogen bonds mediate the characteristic L-shaped molecular structure. tRNAs have two regions of fundamental functional importance: the anti-codon, which is responsible for specific mRNA codon recognition, and the 3' end, to which the tRNAs corresponding amino acid is attached (by aminoacyl-tRNA synthetases). tRNAs cope with the degeneracy of the genetic code in two manners: having more than one tRNA (with a specific anti-codon) for a particular amino acid; and 'wobble' base-pairing, i.e. permitting non-standard base-pairing at the 3rd anti-codon position. The record is from RNAcentral. Lineage: Eukaryota; Metazoa; Arthropoda; Insecta; Psocodea; Psocidae.